AGUAGUUUGACUCCGUGGCUCGAGGACGAACGCUGGCGGCGUGCUUAACACAUGCAAGUCGAACGGAACUUUUAGUUUAGUGGCAAACGGGUGAGUAACGCGUAGGUAAUCUGCCGCAAAGAUGGGGACAACAGUUCGAAAGGACUGCUAAUACCGAAUGUUGUAAGUAAUUCGCAUGAGUGACUUACUAAAGAUUUAUCGCUUUGCGAGGAGCCUGCGUCCGAUUAGCUUGUUGGUGAUGUAAAGGACCACCAAGGCGACGAUCGGUAGCCGGUCUGAGAGGAUGAACGGCCACAAUGGAACUGAGACACGGUCCAUACUCC
This 323-nucleotide ribosomal RNA is filed under the name uncultured Veillonellaceae bacterium. RNAcentral describes it as "bacterial SSU rRNA". It matches the Rfam family "Bacterial small subunit ribosomal RNA", at positions 1 to 339 of the family's 1533-position model. Lineage: Bacteria; Bacillati; Bacillota; Negativicutes; Veillonellales; Veillonellaceae. The record is from RNAcentral.